Molecule: ribosomal RNA, 347 nt
Filed under: uncultured bacterium
Lineage: Bacteria
Description: partial 16S ribosomal RNA
Rfam family: Bacterial small subunit ribosomal RNA
Source: RNAcentral
CCUACGGGGUGCAGCAGUGAGGAAUAUUGGUCAAUGGGCGGAAGCCUGAACCAGCCAAGUAGCGUGCAGGAUGACGGCCCUACGGGUUGUAAACUGCUUUUAUACGGGAAUAAAGCGCCUUACGUGUAGGGCUUUGCAUGUACCGUAUGAAUAAGGACCGGCUAAUUCCGUGCCAGCAGCCGCGGGAAAACGGGAGGACCGGGCGGUAUCCGGAUUUAUUGGGGCUAAAGGGCGCGUAGGCGGCAUGGCAAGGGUGCUGGGAAAUGUCCGGGCUCAACCCGGGCCUUGCAGCGGGAACUGGCGUGCUUGAGUCCGCGUUCAGCAGGCGGAAUUCGUCGUGUAGCGGU